GACGAACGCUGGCGGCGUGCUUAACACAUGCAAGUCGAGCGGAAAGGCCCCUUCGGGGGUACUCGAGCGGCGAACGGGUGAGUAACACGUGGGUAAUCAACCCCUGACAUCGGGAUACCCCGGGGAAACCCGGAUCAAUACCGGAUAAGGUGCGGAGGCGCAGGCCGCCGUACCAAAGGUAGCUUCGGCUUCCGGUCAGGGACGAGCCCGCGGCCCAUUAGCUUGUUGGUGGGGUAACGGCCCACCAAGGCGACGAUGGGUAGCUGGUCUGAGAGGACGAUCAGCCACACUGGGACUGAGACACGGCCCAGACUCCUACGGGAGGCAGCAGUGGGGAAUAUUGCACAAUGGGCGCAAGCCUGAUGCAGCGACGCCGCGUGAGGGAUGACGGCCUUCGGGUUGUAAACCUCUUUCAGCACCGACGAAGCGCAAGUGACGGUAGGUGCAGAAGAAGGACCGGCCAACUACGUGCCAGCAGCCGCGGUAA
RNAcentral lists this ribosomal RNA (487 nucleotides) under uncultured bacterium. RNAcentral's name for it is "partial 16S ribosomal RNA". It matches the Rfam family "Bacterial small subunit ribosomal RNA", at positions 28 to 523 of the family's 1533-position model. The record is from RNAcentral.